AACGCACAUUGCGCCCCCUGGCAUUCCGGGGGGCAUGCCUGUCCGAGCGUCAUUGCUACCCCUCAAGCGCGGCUUGUGUGUUGGGCGCUGUCCCUCCCCUUCUUCGGGGGGACAGGCCUGAAAGGCAGUGGCGGCGUCGCGUCCGGUCCUCGAGCGUAUGGGGCUUUGUCACCCGCUCUGUGAGGAUCCGGCCGGGGCCUGUCUCACCCCCAAUCUUCUCUAAGGUUGACCUCGGAUCAGGUAGGGAUACCCGCUGAACUUAA
This 263-nucleotide unclassified non-coding RNA is filed under the name Ceriporiopsis sp. RNAcentral describes it as "partial contains 5.8S ribosomal RNA, internal transcribed spacer 2, and large subunit ribosomal RNA". Lineage: Eukaryota; Fungi; Basidiomycota; Agaricomycetes; Polyporales; Meruliaceae. RNAcentral also lists the same sequence under 1 other name. The record is from RNAcentral.